RNAcentral lists this long non-coding RNA (1427 nucleotides) under Equus caballus (horse). RNAcentral describes it as "lncRNA (ENSECAG00000045909.1)". Lineage: Eukaryota; Metazoa; Chordata; Mammalia; Perissodactyla; Equidae. The record is from RNAcentral.
GUUUGAGGAGGAGGCAGCUGAGAUGGGGAAGGUCUCCCUCAUGCGCCUCCAGAGUUUUGGGAAGACCCCUGGGAAUGCGAUAUCACCAUUAACAGCUCCCAGUGGGAGACUGGAGACCUACAAACACUAUGUGAGCCAUACCGAUGGCCUGGGACGUAAAGAAUUAAUAUUCAUAAACUGAUUACAGAUACCGCACUUUUGUUGCAUUUAUAGCUGAUACUUCAAGGAAUAUUGUUCUAAUGUCUAUGAUUGUUGCUGUUAGCAAGUAUGUUCCACAAAGUCACCCUAGAGCCUGGCAAGAUAUGAGGAAAUUGUCAACUGAGUCAAUCACUUCAAGAAAGCUGACUACAAUGCAUACAGGGCCUGACAUGGCUGUUGAGCAUGCAGUGUAUAUCUGAUUUAAGCAUAUGCUGUGUCCCAAAGGCAGAAGAAUUGGCCUUAAAAUAAAGAUACAACUUCUCCCACAUUGGCAUUUCCUUAAGGAUAAGCAUCUUUCCUUAGGCUAGGAACUGACUGCUGUGCGCACCUGUGACCACCCAGCUCACUUGUGACCACCCCGCUCACCUGUGACCACCCAGCUCAAGACAAUAGACCUGCCAGCCUGCUGUGUCCACUGAGACAGCAGACCUACCUGCUGUGUCCAUCAAUCGCUGUGCCGUCAGAGCGGUCUCGUGACCAUUGUAAAAGGAUGCUUUGUGAAACAUCCUCUUUGAGGGUAUACAACCACUCUGUGCACCCCACUUCUUUGGUGCCCUUCCUUCCUUGGGGAAAGAAGGCCUGGGCUAUAUGGUCCUCAUCUGGCUCAGAAUAAACUCACCUCAAUUUUCAUUUAUGUAUUUGUUGUGGAUUAUUUACACCGACAUCACCAACGGCAGUGACUUGCUCCACCGCACCAGUCAUCGCCUGAACCACCCAGGCCAGCUGGCUCUAUAUUCAUGUUUGAUUUUGUAUUCUUCACACCGCUUACAAGUUUACUUGGUUUAAGGGGAAGAUGGCCAUCUUGGCAUGUCAGGAAAGCUGCUGGAAACGGCAAGAGACAGUCUUCCCAGAUCUCCAGCCAACCCAAUCUCAAUCAGAACAGUCUCAGAAAUGUUCAUCUCAAAUGACCAUUCAAGCUUAAUAGUUUAAAACAGAGGAAUGACGACAGCAUCCUGUAAAAAUUAGAGGGGAAAAAUGUUUGUGGAUCAUUUGUUCUGUGGUUAUUGUCAGCUUUUGAAAUCUGUAUCUUUAAAUGGAAAAAACUUAAUAAAAAAUCUGUACCAGGUUGAAAAAAUUAUUUUGAAGAUUUUCAAGCACACAAAAGCAGAGGGAGUCACAUAAGGGACCCCCACAUACUCAUCACCCAGCUUCAAUAAUUAUCAACAUUUUGUCAUUCUUGUUUCAUUUAUUCAUUUCCUUGGUUUUUAUUUUCUAGAUUAUUAUAAAAC